Non-coding RNA from Acanthosepion pharaonis, 108 nucleotides. The record is from the annotation of a GenBank genome assembly. Lineage: Eukaryota; Metazoa; Mollusca; Cephalopoda; Sepiida; Sepiidae.
CGACCAUAAUUUGACACACUAGUUCCCGUACGAUCACCGAAGUUAAGCAAUGUCGAGCCUGAUUAGUACCUAGAUGAGUGACCGCUUGGGAAUAGCAGGUGCUGUAAG